UACGGAGGGUGCAAGCGUUAUCCGGAUUCACUGGGUUUAAAGGGAGCGUAGGUGGGUUGGUAAGUCAGUGGUGAAAUCUCUGAGCUUAACUCGGAAACUGCCAUUGAUACUAUCACUCUUGAAUACCGUGGAGGUCAGCGGAAUAUGUCAUGUAGCGGUGAAAUGCUUAGAUAUGACAUAGAACACCAAUUGCGAAGGCAGCUGGCUACACGAAUAUUGACACUCAGGCUCGAAAGCGUGGGGAUCAAACAGG
This 253-nucleotide ribosomal RNA is filed under the name uncultured bacterium. Its description in RNAcentral is "partial 16S ribosomal RNA". It matches the Rfam family "Bacterial small subunit ribosomal RNA", at positions 524 to 776 of the family's 1533-position model. The record is from RNAcentral.